GCUCGGUCCCUGCAUCGAUCCGUCCAUCUCAAAAUCGACGGUUGAUAUGACUUUCCCAAUCGCUUUGCCAAUCGAACGGGCUUCCAUCGAACGGGGUCUAAGUCAAUCCUUGUUCUCAUUGUCAGAUCCAUUUCUGUGUGGUUCCUACCCUUCUUGCGAGUUGCGACGAUUUCCAAUCGCUUGAGGUAUUUCUCCUAUGAUGGAAUUCGAGCUCAGAUUCAGUAAAUGCAGAUUUCUGAGAUGGACAAAAGAUGCCGGUAUUUUUCCAGAAAUCCGAUUAUGAAAUAGAGAUAAGUGACGCAGAUGGGAGAGAUUGCCAAGUUGGUGGGGAAUUUCUCCUCCGAAAUGACAGUGCGAAAGGUCCAAGUGCUGCAAUUGAGUUAAAGAUCCAAUCUCGCUAGAAAUUUGAUGGCCAGAUAAGUUGUUCCGACUUAUAUCUAGAUACUCCAAAUGCUUCAAAUGAAACAAUGAAGGAUGAACCUCGCUUCUGUUGAAAACAGUACCAAAUUGCAAAUGAUAAAUAGUUGAAGAGAGAUCAAGUUCUAUAACAUGACCUGUGACGUUGUUGCAUCCUACACCUUCCCAACUGCAACAGUCAUCGUCCGUCCAUGGAGAUAGCCGCCUGUCGACGUCAGGGAAGCCACUUCUCACGCUCAGCAGAGCCUUCCUUUCUUCCUCUAUGCAGAGUUGCAAAGAUCCAGAGAAAAAUAAGAGAGAAAUCCAGAAGAGGUAAAUAAGAAGGUUGAGUGCAGCAGCAGCCAUGAGAUGUUGCACCAAGAGUUCAAAGGGCAGAUCAACAGAAGCAUUAGCAGCAUUUUCUACCACUCACCCUUAUUUAAUAUAGAUAAAAUUAAUAGGAAAUAUAUGAUCAAUGGAUGUCACCAUCUGAAUUAAUUUUUUGCUUGGCUAUUUCUAUUAACUUGGAAUAAA
This is a long non-coding RNA of Zingiber officinale, 930 nucleotides long. RefSeq lists it as uncharacterized. Lineage: Eukaryota; Viridiplantae; Streptophyta; Magnoliopsida; Zingiberales; Zingiberaceae. The record is from RefSeq and is a predicted model, not a curated record. The transcript is spliced from 2 exons.